AUCACUAGCCAGUGCAGAUUGAAGACAGAUUCUAAAACAAAGAAUAAUUCAUCUUUUGGCCCCCGGGCAAAUGAUAUUGGAGAAGACACAGCAGGAGACGGUGCUUCUGCUUGUGGCUGACCAUCUGCUUCUCCCUCACAUCCUUUCAGGGGAAAAAGCUGCUUGGGGCAAGGAGUUGCUGAUGGCUUGUCUACAAUUUGAAUUGGAGGACUUAAAAGGAGAAAGUUAUAUCUUGAACGUGACAUUCUCAAGGUGGAGGGCAGGAGUACAAGAGAACUGAUGGAACUGGAGGAAACUCCCAGUGACUCUAUGAGUUUCUACUUGGAAAUCAUACAACAAUACUUCCUCCAGUCCCACUGGCCGAAGCAUUGGGCACGCGCCCAAGCUCACCUGUCAAGGGAGAGAAUCCUGGUUGGCCUACAACUUAUAUUUUAAGGAGAAAAAAAUA
Molecule: long non-coding RNA, 448 nt
Organism: Equus caballus (horse)
Lineage: Eukaryota; Metazoa; Chordata; Mammalia; Perissodactyla; Equidae
Source: RefSeq, a predicted model, not a curated record